RNAcentral lists this long non-coding RNA (268 nucleotides) under Lathyrus oleraceus (garden pea). Its description in RNAcentral is "Pisum sativum (pea) long non-coding RNA (PSAT_LNC041747)". The record is from RNAcentral. Lineage: Eukaryota; Viridiplantae; Streptophyta; Magnoliopsida; Fabales; Fabaceae.
AUACUGGAUUUGUGUUCCUCAUGAGGAGAGCUUUCCAUUGAUAUAUGCCUUGAAAAAUUCUGCAAAAAAAAAUUAUGAAUGCUACUGUUGCGCCACCGUCUCAACAAGGAAGACGGUGGAAACCACUGCCAUGAACAAUACUGGCCGCCGUCUGGUAUGAACUUAGGGCAAGGCCUUAAACGGCGUCGUUUUGCAAGUCCAGCGCGCCCUGAACCCAGCGACCUCCUUUCGAUUCCCACCUUCAGCAUUUGGGAAUUUUGUUUUUGCC